RNAcentral lists this ribosomal RNA (253 nucleotides) under uncultured bacterium. RNAcentral's name for it is "partial 16S ribosomal RNA". It matches the Rfam family "Bacterial small subunit ribosomal RNA", at positions 524 to 776 of the family's 1533-position model. The record is from RNAcentral.
UACGGAGGGUGCAAGCGUUAAUCGGAAUUACUGGGCGUAAAGCGCACGCAGGUGGCUGAGUCAGUCGAUUGUGAAAGCCCUGGGCUUAACCUGGGAAUUGCAGUCGAUACUACUCAGCUAGAGUAUGGGAGAGGGCAGUGGAAUUCCCAGUGUAGAGGUGAAAUUCGUAGAUAUUGGGAAGAACACCGGUGGCGAAGGCGGCCAACUGGACCACAACUGACGCUGAGGCGCGAAAGCGUGGGGAGCAAACAGG